This 445-nucleotide ribosomal RNA is filed under the name uncultured bacterium. RNAcentral's name for it is "partial 16S ribosomal RNA". It matches the Rfam family "Bacterial small subunit ribosomal RNA", at positions 354 to 796 of the family's 1533-position model. The record is from RNAcentral.
GUAGGGAAUAUUGGUCAAUGGACGAAAGUCUGAACCAGCCAUUCCGCGUGCAGGAAGAAGAUUCUAUGGAUUGUAAACUGCUUUUAGCAGAGAAGAAACGCCUUCGUUGAUGAGGGUUUGACGGUAUCUGCGGAAUAAGCACCGGCUAACUCCGUGCCAGCAGCCGCGGUAAUACGGGGGGUGCAAGCGUUAUCCGGAAUCACUGGGUUUAAAGGGUGCGUAGGCGGGAAAUUAAGUCAGUGGUGAAAGUCUGUUGCUUAACGAUAGAAUUGCCGUUGAUACUGAUUUUCUUGAAUUGGGUUGAGGUUAGCGGAAUGUGACAUGUAGCGGUGAAAUGCAUAGAUAUGUCAUGGAACACCAAUUGCGAAGGCAGCUAGCUGGGCCUUGAUUGACGCUGAGGCACGAAAGCGUGGGUAGCGAACAGGAUUAGAUACCCGAGUAGUCC